Molecule: long non-coding RNA, 550 nt
Organism: Chenopodium quinoa (quinoa)
Lineage: Eukaryota; Viridiplantae; Streptophyta; Magnoliopsida; Caryophyllales; Amaranthaceae
Exons: 2
Source: RefSeq, a predicted model, not a curated record
CUUUCAGCAAGCAGGACGACGCUUAAGGAAUGAUCUAAAAAAGCCAAUUACAUGUAUAGCUUCUUAUCUUUAAGGGGAUCACUAGUAGAAAAAAGCAAAUGGCUUAGUUGAAUUUUUUGCCCCACUGAAACAUAGUAUCGUUUCUUAUUUUGUGCUGGUCAUCCACUGACAUUCCUGUUUUUCAUCAUGAUGAAUUUCAUGGAAAUCUUGACAGUUCACUUGCUCCAAUGUAUGCUCAGAUGAUGUAGACUUACUUUUGGCUUCAGAUUACUGAUGGUUCUAUUCAACAAGUUAAACAAGAGGAACGGAAAUCCUUUGAUGAAAAGUUCAUUCAAAUGGAUACAAAAAGGCUCUGCAAGUUGGCAUUUGGUGCUGAUAGCCUGCAAUUAAAGCCCAUGAUUGAGCCCCUACUGAUAUUUUUUUUCAUAUUUUUUUCAAGUGUAAAAUUAGAGAUUUUUUUAUGAAUAUAUGAGUUUUAUGUUUAUUAUGUAUAUGUAUAAGUGUUUGACAGUCAAUUUAUGUGAAAAAAGCAAAAAAAAAAAAAAAAAAA